RNAcentral lists this ribosomal RNA (466 nucleotides) under uncultured bacterium. RNAcentral's name for it is "partial 16S ribosomal RNA". It matches the Rfam family "Bacterial small subunit ribosomal RNA", at positions 28 to 507 of the family's 1533-position model. The record is from RNAcentral.
GACGAACGCUGGCGGCGUGCUUAACACAUGCAAGUCGAACGGUAAGGCUCCAGCUUGCUGGGGUACACGAGUGGCGAACGGGUGAGUAACACGUGGGUGACCUGCCCUGCACUUCGGGAUAAGCCUGGGAAACUGGGUCUAAUACCGGAUAGGACCAUGGUGUGGAUACUGUGGUGGAAAGUUUUUUCGGUGUGGGAUGGGCCCGCGGCCUAUCAGCUUGUUGGUGGGGUAAUGGCCUACCAACGCGGCGACGGGUAGCCGGCCCGAGAGGGUGGACGGCGACAUUGGGACUGCGAGAGGGCCCAGAAUGCUACGGGAGGCAGCAGGGGGGAAUAUGGCACAAUGGGGGGAAGUCUGAUGCAGAGACGCUGCGUGGGGGAUGCCGGCCUUCGGGUGGUAAACACAUGUCACCAUCGACGAAGGGUUUCUGACGGUAGAUGGAGAAGAAGCAACGGCUAACUACGUG